AUUGAACGCUGGCGGCAGGCCUAACACAUGCAAGUCGAGCGGAUGAAGGGAGCUUGCUCCUGGAUUCAGCGGCGGACGGGUGAGUAAUGCCUAGGAAUCUGCCUGGUAGUGGGGGAUAACGUCCGGAAACGGGCGCUAAUACCGCAUACGUCCUGAGGGAGAAAGUGGGUGAUCUUCGGACCUCACGCUAUCAGAUGAGCCUAGGUCGGAUUAGCUAGUUGGUGGGGUAAAGGCCUACCAAGGCGACGAUCCGUAACUGGUCUGAGAGGAUGAUCAGUCACACUGGAACUGAGACACGGUCCAGACUACUACGGGAGGCCGCAGUGGGGAAUAUUGGACAAUGGGCGAAAGCCUGAUCCAGCCAUGCCGCGUGUGUGAAGAAGGUCUUCGGAUUGUAAAGCACUUUAAGUUGGGAGGAAGGGCAGUAAGUUAAUACCUUGCUGUUUUGACGGUACCAACAGAAUAAGCACCGGCUAACUUCGUG
This 484-nucleotide ribosomal RNA is filed under the name uncultured bacterium. RNAcentral's name for it is "partial 16S ribosomal RNA". It matches the Rfam family "Bacterial small subunit ribosomal RNA", at positions 30 to 507 of the family's 1533-position model. The record is from RNAcentral.